CAGUCGCCGCGGGAAUACGUAGGUGGCAAGCGUUGUCCGGAAUUAUUGGGCGUAAAGCGCGCGCAGGUGGUUUAAUAAGUCUGAUGUGAAAGCCCACGGCUCAACCGUGGAGGAUCAUUGGAAACUGUUAAACUUGAGUGCAGGAGAGAAAAGUGGAAUUCCUAGUGUAGCGGUGAAAUGCGUAGAGAUUAGGAGGAACACCAGUGGCGAAGGCGGCUUUUUGGCCUGUAACUGACACUGAGGCGCGAAAGCGUGGGGAGCAAACAGGAUUAGAUACCCCUGUAGUCCCUGUCUCUUAUAC
This 301-nucleotide ribosomal RNA is filed under the name uncultured bacterium. Its description in RNAcentral is "partial 16S ribosomal RNA". It matches the Rfam family "Bacterial small subunit ribosomal RNA", at positions 509 to 807 of the family's 1533-position model. The record is from RNAcentral.